This 505-nucleotide ribosomal RNA is filed under the name uncultured bacterium. RNAcentral's name for it is "partial 16S ribosomal RNA". It matches the Rfam family "Bacterial small subunit ribosomal RNA", at positions 28 to 507 of the family's 1533-position model. The record is from RNAcentral.
GACGAACGCUGGCGGCGUGCCUAAUACAUGCAAGUAGAACGCACAGUUUAUACCGUAGCUUGCUACACCAUAGACUGUGAGUUGCGAACGGGUGAGUAACGCGUAGGUAACCUGCCUGGUAGCGGGGGAUAACUAUUGGAAACGAUAGCUAAUACCGCAUAAUAUUAAUUAUUGCAUGAUAAUUAAUUGAAAGGUGCAAUUGCACCACUACCAGAUGGACCUGCGUUGUAUUAGCUAGUAGGUGAGGUAACGGCUCACCUAGGCGACGAUACAUAGCCGACCUGAGAGGGUGAUCGGCCACACUUGGACUGAGACACGGCCCAGACUCCUACGGGAGGCAGCAGUAGGGAAUCUUCGGCAAUAGACGAAAGUCUGACCGAGCAACGCCGCGUGAGUGAAGAAGGUUUUCGGAUCGUAAAGCUCUGUUGUAAGAGAAGAACGGGUGUGAGAGUGGAAAGUUCACACUGUGACGGUAUCUUACCAGAAAGGGACGGCUAACUACGUG